GGCAGGUUACUCUUAGUUCUCAGGGGCGUGUGGAUCCAGCUCUUGUGAUGAGUGGGUGGACCCAGACAGCAUAAUGACAGGCUUCAUAGCAGUUCCUCAUUAUGAAGACACAAUGGGAAGCAGCGUCUGCCUGGACCAAUAGCACUAAGCAUAAAUAAUGCAAGGUCAAAGAAACCCAGGCCAGGAAGCCCCAUCCUACCCCUUUACCAUCUGCCAUGCCACAGGAGCUGCCAGGAUCUCCCCCCCACAGAGCCUGCAAGCAGCAGCCUUGCUGAAACCCCCACUCAGCCCACAUGAGCACCUAGCGCCCAGUGUCAGGGAGAAGCAGCCUGUCAAAGCAGAUCUAUGUUCAAUAGCGGCAAGUACUGGAAAGCAGGAUAAUGCAUGUAUCUCUAUACUGUAUACUGUAUGUACCCCCUGUUUGUGGGCAUGUUAACAAAUAAAUACA
This is a long non-coding RNA of Oreochromis niloticus (Nile tilapia), 448 nucleotides long. RefSeq lists it as uncharacterized. The transcript has 3 exons. Lineage: Eukaryota; Metazoa; Chordata; Actinopteri; Cichliformes; Cichlidae. The record is from RefSeq and is a predicted model, not a curated record.